Molecule: ribosomal RNA, 390 nt
Filed under: uncultured bacterium
Lineage: Bacteria
Description: bacterial SSU rRNA
Rfam family: Bacterial small subunit ribosomal RNA
Source: RNAcentral
AUUGAACGCUGGCGGCAUGCCUUACACAUGCAAGUCGAACGGCAGCACGGGAGCUUGCUCCUGGUGGCGAGUGGCGAACGGGUGAGUAAUACAUCGGAACGUACCCUGAAGUGGGGGAUAACGUAGCGAAAGUUACGCUAAUACCGCAUAUUCUGUGAGCAGGAAAGAGGGGGAUCGCAAGACCUCUUGCUUUAGGAGCGGCCGAUGUCGGAUUAGCUAGUUGGUGAGGUAAAGGCUCACCAAGGCGACGACCCGUAGCGGGUCUGAGAGGAUGAUCCGCCACACUGGGACUGAGACACGGCCCAGACUCCUACGGGAGGCAGCAGUGGGGAAUUUUGGACAAUGGGCGCAAGCCUGAUCCAGCCAUGCCGCGUGAGUGAAGAAGGCCUC